Molecule: non-coding RNA, 765 nt
Organism: Chiloscyllium plagiosum (whitespotted bambooshark)
Lineage: Eukaryota; Metazoa; Chordata; Chondrichthyes; Orectolobiformes; Hemiscylliidae
Source: RefSeq, a predicted model, not a curated record
GGAGAUAUAGGAAGGGGAUGAUGACAACAGUUUACUGCGUGGGCAAUUGGAAAAAUGGAAGGUGUCUUCUGAAAGGUCCAUUAAAUUCCGCAUAUCGAAUCGUGUUUGGGAAGAAAUCAUCUCCAUCAGCAUGGACAGAAUACUGAAGCUUCAGGAAUUGCUCUUUAUCCAGUGUUAAAGUAGAGGGAAGCCCACAUGACAGCAUGACUAUCUCAUUGGCAUGAAUGCCACCUACAGGCAGGAGCCAAAAAUGAUGCUGCCAGACCAACAGAGUUUCUCCAUCGCUUUCUAUUCCUUCUUUAACCUUCUCUGCUCAAAGGACAACAAGUUUUUUAGUUUUGCCACCUAUCUAAAAUGGGUCACUAAAUAACUAAAUGAUUCACAGCGUUAUCCUUCAGGCAAGAUGAUUGAAUUUCUUAUGACGUUGGAAUGAUACACUCUCUGCACAGUGCAGCUUGAUGUUGAUCAAAUGAGAAAAGUUACAGAAGUACAUGAAUUUCUUAACUCUACAGAGCACAGAAGGCAACCUAGUUCAUUACCAAUCUAGAGAGGAAAGGAGCUAAAUUUGGCAGACAAGAUUGAUGGAUAUGCAAAACCUAAAGCACAUGCAUGCCAUUGAUUCAAUAGUUUAGCAUCUGACCCUGUAUUUAAUCCUUCAACAUUGGAGCUGAUGAAGUCAUAAGAGCGACGACCGGGGGCUGCUGGGAAGUUCCUUCUUUAAAUAACUUACGUCAUGUGUAGGCAGAGCACACGCUCAGAAGGAGU